AAUGAAAAUAAUGUGUGUUGCAUAAAUAAAGGAAAAUAUUCAGAUCAGUACUUAAGUUCAUAGUGGGUCAUCAGAAUGCAUUACAAUUUUGUAAGGAUACAACACUGAAUAUCAUUUUCUUUUUUUGAGACAGGGUCUUGCUCUGUUGUCCAGGCUGGAGUACAGUAGUGUGAUCAUAGCUCACUGUAGCCUCAAACUCCCAGCCUCAAGCAAUCUUCCUGCCUCAGCCUCCUGAGUAGCUGGGACCACAGGUACACACCACCACGCCCAGCUAAUUUUUUUUUUUUUGAGGCAGAGUCUCACUCUGUUGCCCAGGCUGGAGUGCAUUGGCACGAUCUCAGCUCACUGCAAGUUCCGCCUCCCAGGUUCACACCAUUCUCCUGCCUCAGCCUCCCAAGUAGCUGGGACUACAGGCGCCUGCCACCAUGCCCGGCUAAUUUUUUGUAUUUUUAGUAGAGAUGGGGUUUCACCAUAUUAGCAAGGAUGAUCUCGAUCUCCUGACCUCGUGAUCCGUCCGUCUCAGCCUCGCAAAGUGCUGGGAUUACAGACGUGAGCCACUGCGCCUGGCUGGCCCAGCUAAUUAAAAAAAAAAAAUUUUUUUUUUUUAGAGUUGGGGUCUUGCUAUGUUGCCCAGGCUGGUCUCCAACUCCUGGGCACAAGCAAUCCUCCUGCUUUGGCCUCCCAAUAUGUUGGGGUUACAGGCAUGAGCCACCACACCCAGCCAGAUUAUUUCCAUAUAAUUCUUAAGGGAUAGUAUAAUCCCAAAGCAGCCAUAACUGUGUGGUUUAGAAACAGUGGUUCUCAAAGGGUACUCCCUGGACCAACAGCAUCAGCAUUCUGUCAGAACUUGCUAGAAUUUCAAAUUCUCACCCUCACCCCAGCCCUACUCUGGGAUGGGUCCUUGCAAUCUGGGUUUUCACAAGCCCUCCUGGUGACUCUGGUGCACACGCAAGUUUGAGAACUGACGGCUAGGGCUUCAGUCUGAAGCUUCCUAUGUCCUAUGUCAUGAAUGGUUUAUUACAUCUAGAAUUUUCUUUCCUUUCUUUCUCUCUUUCUUUCCUUCCUUCCUUCCUUCCUUCCUUCCUUCCUUCUUUCCUUCCUUCCUUCCUUCUUUCUUUCUUUUUGAGACAGAGUCUUACUCUGUUGCCCACGCUGGAGUGCAGUGGCAUGAUGUUGGCUCACUACAACCUCUGCCUCCUAGGUUUAAGCGAUUCUCCUGCCUCAGCCUCCCAAAUAGCUGGGAUUACACACACAGCCACCAAGCCUGGGUAAUUUUUGCAUUGUUAGUAGAGAUGAGGUUUCACCAUGUGGCCAGGCUGGUCUCGAACUCCUGACCUCAAGCGAUCUGCCUGCCUCAGCCUCCCAAAGUCCUGGGAUUACAGGCGUGACCCACCAUGCCCAGCCUAUGUCUAGAAUUUUCUGUAUUGAUACUUCAACUUGUUCAGAUCCUUUAACAGUAUAUUUCAUGUAAUUUUCCUGACUACAGAAAAAAAAUUGUCUUUAGCAAUUAGAAAAAGGAACAGCUCCAGUGCCUGGAGCUCCA
Molecule: long non-coding RNA, 1543 nt
Filed under: Macaca fascicularis (crab-eating macaque)
Lineage: Eukaryota; Metazoa; Chordata; Mammalia; Primates; Cercopithecidae
Description: lncRNA (ENSMFAG00000061949.1)
Source: RNAcentral